CACAGCGCUGCGGCGGGCAGCAGGCGAGAGCCGAGGAAGCCCAGGGAAGCUCAGCCGGGUCACGUGCCGCACGGAGCCCCGAAGUGCGCUUGGCCCCGCUGACGUAACUAGUGGAGAAUUUAAAAGUCCUAAAGUCGGAAGCGAUCGGGUGCAGAAUUUUGUGGCUAAUCCGUGCGCAGCUCUGGCCACCCGGGCCGCCCCCACGAGACCCAAGGGACCGCACGAAGUCGGAGAGACCCGGGAGGGAUGGCGCAAGGGCCCCCGUGGGCGGAGAACCCAGCCCCCUGGCGAGCGCCUCGUCCUCGCUGCUGACCCCGCGCCCAGCCACCCGAGCACAGGCAACUUCUGUCCUAUUGGGGUUGAUGAUUCUGACUCCACUGGUGGAGAACUCUCCCGAACCGUGUCCUUGGGAGUUGAACUUGGAGCAUCAGACCGACUGCCUUUGGGGAGCUGACUUUGAAGCUCUGAUGCAGAAACCUGUUCCCAUCCACCAUGAGUGGGUGGUGCGGUCUUCUCCCUGAGAAUAUCAAAGAUGGAUGCUUCUGAGUCCAAUUGGGAUGGCUGGAGACAGUUUUCAGAAGCCACAUUUGGACUUCCAGUAUCCUCGGGGGCCUUAGUUCCCUCCUUUGGCCCCACUGAGCUCCCGGUACCUUUGCUUGAAGCCCCAGGAGGAGGAGGAG
Non-coding RNA from Heterocephalus glaber (naked mole-rat), 680 nucleotides. Lineage: Eukaryota; Metazoa; Chordata; Mammalia; Rodentia; Bathyergidae. The record is from RefSeq and is a predicted model, not a curated record.